GUGCUCCCUUGGGCAGCACAUAUGCUAAAGUGGAACAAUGCAGAGAAGGUUAGCACAGCCCCUCUGCAAGGAUGACAUGCAAAUUCAUGAGGCAUUCCAUACUUUU
Molecule: small nuclear RNA, 106 nt
Organism: Equus caballus (horse)
Lineage: Eukaryota; Metazoa; Chordata; Mammalia; Perissodactyla; Equidae
Source: Ensembl